AGAUUGAAGGGCUUAAGAAUGACGUGAAAAGCAUGCUAACAGCUCCUGGAAAAGACAUGGUGGAGACUAUGAAUUUGAUCGAAACACUUGAGCGCUUGGGCAUCUCAUAUCACUUUGCAAACGAGAUUGAAGAACUACUAGAUCAUUUCUUUAAUCUCAACUCAAACUAUGCAGAUGAAGCCUAUGAUUUAUACACCGUUGCACUUCAUUUUCGUUUAUUUAGACAACAUGGCCACCGUAUAUCUUGUGAUGUCUUUAAAAAAUUCAUAGACGAGACUGGAAAAUUCAAAGAGUCUAUUAAGAGCGAUGCAAUAGGAUUGUUGAGCUUAUAUGAAGCAGCAUAUUUAAGAGUGCAUGGAGAAGAUAUACUAGAAGACGCUCUCGCUUUUACAACAGAAAACCUGAAAUCCAUGGCACCAAAUCUAAGCUCUACCCUUGGGAAACAAGUAGCUCAUUCCCUUGUUCAAUGCAUCCAUUUUGGGAACCCAAGAAUUGAGGCACGUAACUUUAUCUCCAUCUACCAAGAAGAUGAGUCCAGGAAUGAAAUGCUUCUGAGGUUUGCCAAAUUGGACUAUAAUUCAUUGCAGAUGUUGCAUAAAAAGGAGCUCUAUGAAGUAUCAAGGUAAUGUUCAAUUGACAAGUUCAUAAGAUUAAAACCUCUAAGUAUGUAUGUGUGUGUGUACGUCAAUUAAUAACAUGCUUCUUAUAUAUAUUGCAGGUGGUGGAAGGAUUUGGACCUUGUUUCUAAGCUUCCAUAUGCUAGAGACCGAGUUGUAGAAUGUUUUUUCUGGGCUAUGGGAGUUUAUCAUGAACCUCAAUAUUCCAUUGCUCGAAUCAUGCUCACCAAAACCAUUGCAAUGACGUCAAUAAUAGAUGAUACAUAUGACGCCUAUGGUGUAGUUGAAGAACU
RNAcentral lists this long non-coding RNA (910 nucleotides) under Olea europaea subsp. europaea. Lineage: Eukaryota; Viridiplantae; Streptophyta; Magnoliopsida; Lamiales; Oleaceae. The record is from RNAcentral.